RNAcentral lists this ribosomal RNA (85 nucleotides) under Lachnotalea glycerini. RNAcentral describes it as "partial 23S ribosomal RNA". Lineage: Bacteria; Bacillati; Bacillota; Clostridia; Lachnospirales; Lachnospiraceae. The record is from RNAcentral.
UGAAGAGUACAAGGUAGAUAGGGCAGAGGUGGAAGUGCAGUAAUGUAUGGAGCUGACUGUUACUAAUCGGUCGAGGGCAUGACCC